GUGGAUAUCGCCGACGACAUCCCAUGUUCUUCCAUCGCCGUCGAUUCCGUUAUUCGAAUGGGCACCGCUGGCUUAAUCUGGGGCUCCUGUUCUGGUCCUUACGACGCCAAUAAAUUAGGUCUUUCUGGCAUUAAUAGAGCUUCUUUUAUUGCUAAGUCAGUUGGUCGGCUUGGCUUUCAGUGGGGAUUGUUUGCUGCUAUAUUUUCUUCCACUCGGUGUGGGUUUCAGAGAUAUAGAAGACGAAAUGAUUGGGUUAAUGUUUUGACUGCUGGUGUUGUAGCAGGGGCUGCUUUUGGUGCAGGUACCCGAAACUGGAAGCAGGUUGCUGGAGCAACAGGUCUCGUGUGUCUCUUAUGUCAUGUUGCUGAGGACUCCCGAUAAACUUUGGCUUUGAUUUGUUGAGAAGGAACUAAAAUAGUCUGCAGUAGGGAAUUGGACACUCCAAACUGCUAAUAAUUUCAUGUUGACUAAGGAGCGUGGGAUAGCAGUAUGCUUCACCGAAUGGGAGACAUAACUCAGUAAAUUGAAGUUGAUACAAGAUUUAUGAUGUUGAUUUGUUGGCCAUUAGUUUAUCUGUUGGGGGAAAUAAACCUAACAUAUGAAUUACGAAGCGUUUUCUCUAGUGCACAGUUGCUUGGUGUUGAUUAUAGGUUGGUUGGUUGGUUGAACUACAGUUGCGUUGUUGGGAGUAAAUUCUAG
This 699-nucleotide unclassified non-coding RNA is filed under the name Hevea brasiliensis (rubber tree). Lineage: Eukaryota; Viridiplantae; Streptophyta; Magnoliopsida; Malpighiales; Euphorbiaceae. The record is from RNAcentral.